This 76-nucleotide transfer RNA is filed under the name Bacillota bacterium. RNAcentral's name for it is "Firmicutes bacterium tRNA-Arg". It matches the Rfam family "tRNA". From Rfam's summary of the family: Transfer RNA (tRNA) molecules are approximately 80 nucleotides in length. Their secondary structure includes four short double-helical elements and three loops (D, anti-codon, and T loops). The record is from RNAcentral. RNAcentral also lists the same sequence under 1 other name. Lineage: Bacteria; Bacillati; Bacillota.
GCGCCCGUAGCUCAGCGGAUAGAGUAACGGACUACGAAUCCGGAGGUCGGAGGUUCGAAUCCUCCCGGGCGCGCCA